AGGACCACGAGCGCCGCAAGGA
This 22-nucleotide microRNA is filed under the name Ixodes ricinus (castor bean tick). Its description in RNAcentral is "iri-miR-X22-3p". Lineage: Eukaryota; Metazoa; Arthropoda; Arachnida; Ixodida; Ixodidae. The record is from RNAcentral.